AUCACUCGGGGAUCUUGCAAAAAUGUAAGUUCUGAUUCAGUAGAAAGGGAUGGAGCCUGAGAUUCUGCAUUUCUAACAAGUCCCCAGGUGAUGUCAAU
This is a microRNA precursor of Myotis lucifugus (little brown bat), 98 nucleotides long. The record is from Ensembl. Lineage: Eukaryota; Metazoa; Chordata; Mammalia; Chiroptera; Vespertilionidae.